This 77-nucleotide transfer RNA is filed under the name Serratia phage vB_SmaM-Kamaji. RNAcentral describes it as "tRNA-Pro". The record is from RNAcentral. Lineage: Duplodnaviria; Heunggongvirae; Uroviricota; Caudoviricetes; Demerecviridae.
GAGUACACCGUUUGGGGCGGUGGGGUUCAAGGUUCGAGUCCUUGGUUGGAGACCACUCCGACUAGCUCAAUUGGCUA